ACUUAAGUAUUAUAAUUUAUUAUUUUUGACUUCCAAUUAAAAAAUCUAGAAAUACUCUAGCUUAAGUA
Molecule: transfer RNA, 68 nt
Filed under: Ips calligraphus
Lineage: Eukaryota; Metazoa; Arthropoda; Insecta; Coleoptera; Curculionidae
Description: tRNA-Gly
Source: RNAcentral